Molecule: ribosomal RNA, 253 nt
Filed under: uncultured bacterium
Lineage: Bacteria
Description: partial 16S ribosomal RNA
Rfam family: Bacterial small subunit ribosomal RNA
Source: RNAcentral
UACAGAGGUCCCAAGCGUUGUUCGGAUUCACUGGGCGUAAAGGGUGCGUAGGUGGUGGGGUAAGUCGGAUGUGAAAGCUCGGAGCUCAACUCCGAAAUGGCAUUGGAAACUACCCUGCUAGAGGAUUGGAGGGGGGACUGGAAUACUUGGUGUAGCGGUGGAAUGCGCAGAUAUCAGGAGGAACACCGAUGGCGAAGGCAGGUCUCUGGGCCACUACUGACGCUGAGAAGCGAAAGCAUGGGGAGCGAACAGG